AAAGAUUUAGUUUAACUUAAAACAUUAGCUUGUCAGGUUAAAAUUAUUGAUAUAAGAUAAUCUUUA
Molecule: transfer RNA, 66 nt
Filed under: Metidiocerus impressifrons
Lineage: Eukaryota; Metazoa; Arthropoda; Insecta; Hemiptera; Cicadellidae
Also listed under: 1 other name
Description: tRNA-Asp
Rfam family: tRNA
About the family: Transfer RNA (tRNA) molecules are approximately 80 nucleotides in length. Their secondary structure includes four short double-helical elements and three loops (D, anti-codon, and T loops).
Source: RNAcentral